GUGGUUAUUAUUUGUUGUUUAUGCAAUGUAAAUAAAUCUGGGUAAUUAACCAAAACCGACGGAAAUACAUCAGCUAUCAGAGGAAAAUAGUUAUCAAAGGUACCAGGAUUAUAAUUCAGUACACCAGACGCGCGUUUCGUCUACAUAAGACUCAUCAGUGACGCUCGUAUCAAAAUAUUUAUAAAGCCAAACAAGUACAAAGCGUAAGAGCAAUGAGGAUCAAAAUUCCAAAAAGUUAUGCCAAAUACGGCUAAGGUAUUCUAUGCCUGGGAUAAGAAAUUCCUAAGUGUUUUGAAAAUUUCAAAAUUUUGUAAACAGGAAAUGUAUAAAAAUGACCACAUUGUUGAUAUUCAUGUCAACACCGAAAUGUUGACUACUGGGCUGGUGAUACCCUCGGGGACGAAACGUCCACCAGCAGUGGCAUCGACCCAGUGGUGUAAAUAGUUGUCAAAGGUACCAGGCUUAUAAUUUAGUACGCCAGACGUCUACAUAAGACUCAUCAGUGACGCUCAUAUCAAAAUAUUUAUAAAGCCAAACAAGUACAAAGUUGAAGAGCAUUGAGUAUCCAAAAUUCCAAAACGUUAUGCCAAAUACGGCUAAGGUAGUCUAUGCCUGGGAUCAUAAAUCGAGAACAAUACACACCAUCGGUAAAUUAACAUUUUAGUAAUUUUUAUUCCAAAUUACGUUGGACAAAUUUUAAUGUUAAUUUUAAAGUUUUUUGAAAAUUUCAAAAUUUUGUAAACAGGAAAUUU
RNAcentral lists this long non-coding RNA (752 nucleotides) under Mytilus galloprovincialis (Mediterranean mussel). The record is from RNAcentral. Lineage: Eukaryota; Metazoa; Mollusca; Bivalvia; Mytilida; Mytilidae.